Molecule: unclassified non-coding RNA, 225 nt
Filed under: rhizosphere metagenome
Description: partial ribosomal RNA internal transcribed spacer region
Source: RNAcentral
GUAGGUGAACCUGCGGAAGGAUCAUUACUGAAAGACCAAGGAGUCUAGAGACUGCGCCCUCGGGCGUGUGCUCGACGCCUUACUCUUUAUCCACACACACCUUUGUGCACCAUGGGAGACCUUAACGGUCGCCCCACUUUCACACACACCAAGUUAUAUGCAUGUCUCAUUAUAUACUCUACGGAGUGAAAUGUACAACUUUCAACAACGGAUCUCUUGGCUUUC